This 508-nucleotide ribosomal RNA is filed under the name uncultured bacterium. RNAcentral describes it as "partial 16S ribosomal RNA". It matches the Rfam family "Bacterial small subunit ribosomal RNA", at positions 28 to 507 of the family's 1533-position model. The record is from RNAcentral.
GACGAACGCUGGCGGCGUGCCUAAUACAUGCAAGUCGAACGCUUCUUUCCUCCCGAGUGCUUGCACUCAAUUGGAAAGAGGAGUGGCGGACGGGUGAGUAACACGUGGGUAACCUACCCAUCAGAGGGGGAUAACACUUGGAAACAGGUGCUAAUACCGCAUAACAGUUUAUGCCGCAUGGCAUAAGAGUGAAAGGCGCUUUCGGGUGUCGCUGAUGGAUGGACCCGCGGUGCAUUAGCUAGUUGGUGAGGUAACGGCUCACCAAGGCCACGAUGCAUAGCCGACCUGAGAGGGUGAUCGGCCACACUGGGACUGAGACACGGCCCAGACUCCUACGGGAGGCAGCAGUAGGGAAUCUUCGGCAAUGGACGAAAGUCUGACCGAGCAACGCCGCGUGAGUGAAGAAGGUUUUCGGAUCGUAAAACUCUGUUGUUAGAGAAGAACAAGGACGUUAGUAACUGAACGUCCCCUGACGGUACCUAACCAGAAAGCCACGGCUAACUACGUG